UACAUAGAGAAACCCUGUCUCAGAGGAGG
RNAcentral lists this non-coding RNA (29 nucleotides) under Cricetulus griseus (Chinese hamster). The record is from RNAcentral. Lineage: Eukaryota; Metazoa; Chordata; Mammalia; Rodentia; Cricetidae.